GGAAGGGUUGUCCUGUGGUUAGGACACUAGUCUUGGACUUGGGAGAGCUGGGUUUGAUUCCCUGCUCUGCCA
RNAcentral lists this transfer RNA (72 nucleotides) under Chelonia mydas (Green sea turtle). It matches the Rfam family "tRNA". Rfam says of the family: Transfer RNA (tRNA) molecules are approximately 80 nucleotides in length. Their secondary structure includes four short double-helical elements and three loops (D, anti-codon, and T loops). Lineage: Eukaryota; Metazoa; Chordata; Testudines; Cheloniidae. The record is from Rfam by way of RNAcentral.